Molecule: ribosomal RNA, 253 nt
Filed under: uncultured bacterium
Lineage: Bacteria
Description: partial 16S ribosomal RNA
Rfam family: Bacterial small subunit ribosomal RNA
Source: RNAcentral
UACGAAGGGGGCAAGCGUUGUUCGGAAUUACUGGGCGUAAAGGGCGCGUAGGCGGCCCUUGAAGUCAGGCGUGAAAGCCCCGGGCUCAACCUGGGAAUUGCGUUUGAUACUCGAGGGCUUGAGGACGGGAGAGGAGAGUGGAAUUCCCAGUGUAGAGGUGAAAUUCGUAGAUAUUGGGAAGAACACCGGUGGCGAAGGCGGCUCUCUGGACCGUUACUGACGCUGAGGCGCGAAAGCGUGGGGAGCAAACAGG